Molecule: ribosomal RNA, 468 nt
Filed under: uncultured bacterium
Lineage: Bacteria
Description: partial 16S ribosomal RNA
Rfam family: Bacterial small subunit ribosomal RNA
Source: RNAcentral
GACGAACGCUGGCGGCGUGCUUAACACAUGCAAGUCGGACGGAAAGGCCCUGCUUUUGUGGGGUGCUCGAGUGGCGAACGGGUGAGUAACACGUGAGUAACCUGCCCUUGACUUUGGGAUAACUUCAGGAAACUGGGGCUAAUACCGGAUAGGAGCUCCUGCUGCAUGGUGGGGGUUGGAAAGUUUCGGCGGUUGGGGAUGGACUCGCGGCUUAUCAGCUUGUUGGUGGGGUAGUGGCUUACCAAGGCUUUGACGGGUAGCCGGCCUGAGAGGGUGACCGGCCACAUUGGGACUGAGAUACGGCCCAGACUCCUACGGGAGGCAGCAGUGGGGAAUAUUGCACAAUGGGCGGAAGCCCGAUGCAGCAACGCCGCGUGCGGGAUGACGGCCUUCGGGUUGUAAACCGCUUUCGCCUGUGACGAAGCGUGAGUGACGGUAAUGGGUAAAGAAGCACCGGCUAACUACGUG